This 641-nucleotide ribosomal RNA is filed under the name Magnetospirillum sp. enrichment culture clone B16. RNAcentral's name for it is "bacterial SSU rRNA". It matches the Rfam family "Bacterial small subunit ribosomal RNA", at positions 112 to 906 of the family's 1533-position model. The record is from RNAcentral. Lineage: Bacteria; Pseudomonadati; Pseudomonadota; Alphaproteobacteria; Rhodospirillales; Rhodospirillaceae.
AUAUCGAAACAUGUCCGGAAGUGGGGGAUAACGUAGCGAAAGUUACGCUAAUACCGCAUAUGCCCUGAGGGGGAAAGGGGGGGAUCGCAAGACCUCUCGCGGCAGCAGUGGGGAAUAUUGGACAAUGGGCGCAAGCCUGAUCCAGCCAUGCCGCGUGAGUGAUGAAGGCCUUAGGGUUGUAAAGCUCUUUCGACGGGGACGAUGAUGACGGUACCCGUAGAAGAAGCCCCGGCUAACUUCGUGCCAGCAGCCGCGGUAAUACGAAGGGGGCUAGCGUUGUUCGGAAUUACUGGGCGUAAAGCGCACGCAGGCGGUUCGAUCAGUCAGAAGUGAAAGCCCCGGGCUUAACCUGGGAACUGCUUUUGAUACUGUCGAGCUUGAAUCACGGAGAGGGUAGUGGAAUUCCGAGUGUAGAGGUGAAAUUCGUAGAUAUUCGGAAGAACACCAGUGGCGAAGGCGACUACCUGGCCGUCGAUUGACGCUCAUGUGCGAAAGCGUGGGGAGCAAACAGGAUUAGAUACCCUGGUAGUCCACGCCGUAAACGAUGAGUGCUAGUUGUUGGGGUGCAUGCACCUCAGUGACGCAGCUAACGCGUUAAGCACUCCGCCUGGGGAGUACGGCCGCAAGGUUAAAACUCAAGG